AGAACGAACGCUGGCGGCAGGCCUCAAACAUGCAAGUCUAGGGGGUGUAGCAAUACAUCACCGGCGGACGGGUGCGUAACACGUGGGAAUGUACUUACUGGUACGGAACAACUCAGGGAAACUUGAGCUAAUACCGCAUAAGCCCGAAAGGGGAAAGAUUUAUCGCCAGUAAAUCAGCCCGCGUCCGAUUAGCUAGUUGGUGGGGUAAAGGCUCACCAAGGCUCCGAUCGGUAGCUGUUCUGAGAGGAAGAUCAGCCACACUGGGACUGAGACACGGCCCAGACUCCUACGGGAGGCAGCAGUUGGGAAUCUUGGACAAUGGGGGAAACCCUGAUCCAGCCAUGCCGCGUGAGUGAUGAAGGCCUUAGGGUUGUAAACUCUUUCGACGGGGACAUAACGACGGUACCCGUAGAAGAGCUCCGGCUAACGUUCGUGCCAGCAGCCGC
RNAcentral lists this ribosomal RNA (446 nucleotides) under uncultured bacterium. RNAcentral describes it as "SSU rRNA". It matches the Rfam family "Bacterial small subunit ribosomal RNA", at positions 26 to 518 of the family's 1533-position model. The record is from RNAcentral.